ACAAAGGCUGUGACGAAGACGGUUGCGUUUAUGUCCUUUCAGAGAGUCGGUGUUUGGUGCGAGCCGAUAGCGAUAUGAAUGUAAAACCCAUCACUUCCGAGCCGGAGAGAUGAAACAACAGUAGUUUCUCCCGUGACAACUGCGUCAGUGUUGAGGGAUUGUCAGAUCCUGCAGAGAGGCGAGAAGCAAUAGCAGAUCGCAAUUUGAGUGGUACCGCGGAUUAUCAAAUCCGUCUCAAAG
RNAcentral lists this non-coding RNA (240 nucleotides) under Ruminococcus sp. RNAcentral describes it as "T-box sequence". It matches the Rfam family "T-box leader". From Rfam's summary of the family: Uncharged tRNA acts as the effector for transcription antitermination of genes in the T-box leader family. T-boxes are found upstream of many aminoacyl-tRNA synthetase genes and some amino acid biosynthetic genes usually in Gram-positive bacteria. The anticodon of a specific tRNA base pairs to a specifier sequence within the T-box motif, and the NCCA acceptor tail of the tRNA base pairs to a conserved bulge in the T-box antiterminator hairpin. Lineage: Bacteria; Bacillati; Bacillota; Clostridia; Eubacteriales; Oscillospiraceae. The record is from RNAcentral.